GUGCCUAUAGCUCAGAUGGAUAGAGCAUCAGUUUGCGGAACUGAGGGUCAGAGGUUCGAAUCCUCUUAGGCAUA
This 74-nucleotide transfer RNA is filed under the name Spirochaetaceae bacterium 4572_59. Its description in RNAcentral is "tRNA-Arg". It matches the Rfam family "tRNA". From Rfam's summary of the family: Transfer RNA (tRNA) molecules are approximately 80 nucleotides in length. RNAcentral also lists the same sequence under 1 other name. Lineage: Bacteria; Pseudomonadati; Spirochaetota; Spirochaetia; Spirochaetales; Spirochaetaceae. The record is from RNAcentral.